This 253-nucleotide ribosomal RNA is filed under the name uncultured bacterium. Its description in RNAcentral is "partial 16S ribosomal RNA". It matches the Rfam family "Bacterial small subunit ribosomal RNA", at positions 524 to 776 of the family's 1533-position model. The record is from RNAcentral.
UACGUAGGGUGCAAGCGUUACUCGGAAUUACUGGGCGUAAAGCGUGCGCAGGCGGUUGUGCAAGUCAGAUGUGAAAUCCCCGGGCUCAACCUGGGAACUGCAUUUGUGACUGCACGGCUGGAGUGCGGCAGAGGGGGAUGGAAUUCCGCGUGUAGCAGUGAAAUGCGUAGAUAUGCGGAGGAACACCGAUGGCGAAGGCAAUCCCCUGGGCCUGCACUGACGCUCAUGCACGAAAGCGUGGGGAGCAAACAGG